GGAAUAUUGCGCAAUGGGGGAAACCCUGACGCAGCGACGCCGCGUGGGUGAGGAAGGCUUUCGGGUCGUAAAGCUCUGUCAGAAGGGAAGAAAUGCUUGUGGGUUAAUACCUUGUAAGUUUGACGGUACCUUCAAAGGAAGCACCGGCUAACUCCGUGCCAGCAGCCGCGGUAAUACGGAGGGUGCAAGCGUUGUUCGGAAUCACUGGGCGUAAAGGGCGCGUAGGCGGCUUGGCAAGUCAGAUGUGAAAGCCCACGGCUUAACCGUGGAAGUGCAUUUGAAACUGCUUGGCUUGAGUAUCAGAGGGGAAAGUGGAAUUCCCGGUGUAGAGGUGAAAUUCGUAGAUAUCGGGAGGAAUACCGGUGGCGAAGGCGACUUUCUGGCUGAAUACUGACGCUGAGGCGCGAAAGCGUGGGGAGCAAACAGGAUUA
This 431-nucleotide ribosomal RNA is filed under the name uncultured Desulfobulbaceae bacterium. RNAcentral describes it as "bacterial SSU rRNA". It matches the Rfam family "Bacterial small subunit ribosomal RNA", at positions 358 to 780 of the family's 1533-position model. Lineage: Bacteria; Pseudomonadati; Thermodesulfobacteriota; Desulfobulbia; Desulfobulbales; Desulfobulbaceae. The record is from RNAcentral.